UACGGGGGGGGCAAGCGUUGUUCGGAAUUACUGGGCGUAAAGGGCUCGUAGGCGGCCAACUAAGUCAGACGUGAAAUCCCUCGGCUUAACCGGGGAACUGCGUCUGAUACUGGAUGGCUUGAGUUUGGGAGAGGGAUGCGGAAUUCCAGGUGUAGCGGUGAAAUGCGUAGAUAUCGGGAGGAACACCAGUGGCGAAGGCGGCUUCCUGGCCUGUUCUUGACGCUGAGGCGCGAAAGCUAGGGGAGCAAACGGG
This 253-nucleotide ribosomal RNA is filed under the name uncultured bacterium. Its description in RNAcentral is "partial 16S ribosomal RNA". It matches the Rfam family "Bacterial small subunit ribosomal RNA", at positions 524 to 776 of the family's 1533-position model. The record is from RNAcentral.